GAUGAGUAGGGCGGGACACGUGGUAUCCUGUCUGAAUAUGGGGGGACCAUCCUCCAAGGCUAAAUACUCCUGACUGACCGAUAGUGAACCAGUACCGUGAGGGAAAGGCGAAAAGAACCCCGGCGAGGGGAGUGAAAAAGAACCUGAAACCGUGUACGUACAAGCAGUGGGAGCACGCUUAGGCGUGUGACUGCGUACCUUUUGUAUAAUGGGUCAGCGACUUAUAUUCUGUAGCAAGGUUAACCGAAUAGGGGAGCCGAAGGGAAACCGAGUCUUAACUGGGCGUUAAGUUGCAGGGUAUAGACCCGAAACCCGGUGAUCUAGCCAUGGGCAGGUUGAAGGUUGGGUAACACUAACUGGAGGACCGAACCGACUAAUGUUGAAAAAUUAGCGGAUGACUUGUGGCUGGGGGUGAAAGGCCAAUCAAACCGGGAGAUAGCUGGUUCUCCCCGAAAGCUAUUUAGGUAGCGCCUCGUGAAUUCAUCUCCGGGGGUAGAGCACUGUUUCGGCAAGGGGGUCAUCCCGA
Molecule: ribosomal RNA, 526 nt
Filed under: Escherichia coli
Lineage: Bacteria; Pseudomonadati; Pseudomonadota; Gammaproteobacteria; Enterobacterales; Enterobacteriaceae
Description: partial 23S ribosomal RNA
Rfam family: Bacterial large subunit ribosomal RNA
Source: RNAcentral